This 300-nucleotide ribosomal RNA is filed under the name uncultured Ignisphaera sp. RNAcentral's name for it is "bacterial SSU rRNA". It matches the Rfam family "Bacterial small subunit ribosomal RNA", at positions 496 to 795 of the family's 1533-position model. The record is from RNAcentral. Lineage: Archaea; Thermoproteati; Thermoproteota; Thermoprotei; Desulfurococcales; Desulfurococcaceae.
GCUGAGUACGAGCGAGCGGGCGGGGUAGUACGUGGGAGACGGGCGGUGUGCGGGGUUACUGGGCGUAAAGGGCGCGCAGGGGGCCUGGCGUGUGUGCGGGUGAAGCUCCCGGCUUAAAUGGGAGGGGUCCGUGCAAACGGGUGGGCUUAAGCGUCGGAGAGGGGCAUGGAAUUCCGGGUGGAGCGGUGAAAUGCGUAGAGAUCCGGAAGAACACCAAUGGCGAAGGCAGUGCCCUGGCCGACGGCUGACGCUCAGGCGCGAAAGCGUGGGGAGCAAACAGGAUUAGAUACCCGGGUAGUC